UGGGGAAUUUUGGACAAUGGGCGCAAGCCUGAUCCAGCCAUGCCGCGUGGGUGAAGAAGGCCUUCGGGUUGUAAAGCCCUUUCGGCUGGGACGAAAAGGUCCGUGCUAACACCACGGACUAAUGACGGUACCAGCAGAAGAAGCACCGGCUAACUACGUGCCAGCAGCCGCGGUAAUACGUAGGGUGCAGGCGUUAAUCGGAAUUACUGGGCGUAAAGCGUGCGCAGGCGGUCUUUUAAGUCAGAUGUGAAAUCCCCGGGCUUAACCUGGGAACUGCGUUUGAAACUGGAAGGCUAGAGUGUGGCAGAGGGGGGUGGAAUUCCACGUGUAGCAGUGAAAUGCGUAGAUAUGUGGAGGAACACCGAUGGCGAAGGCAGCCCCCUGGGCUAACACUGACGCUCAUGCACGAAAGCGUGGGGAGCAAACAG
RNAcentral lists this ribosomal RNA (428 nucleotides) under uncultured bacterium. RNAcentral's name for it is "bacterial SSU rRNA". It matches the Rfam family "Bacterial small subunit ribosomal RNA", at positions 355 to 775 of the family's 1533-position model. The record is from RNAcentral.